UCUUCCACUUCACAGCCGCUCAUUACUACCAGAACCCUCUUCCUUCCUUCCUUGUGGAAUCAAUCGUCUUUCACAACCCAAAGCAUUUCCAAAUCCUCUUUUAAUGGGAUUCGUUGGCCUUUGGGCGGCGAUGCCUCUAGCCUCCUUGAGUGUUUUCUCUCUCGAAAGUAGCUACAUCCUUCUUAGAUGCUGCUUGUAAACUGUAAAGGCCAUGCCUUUUAGGAAAAUGAAAGUUUAAUCGUUCAAAGAACUGGAAGAACGAUCCGUCAACAUGGUCCCUUCAUUAAGAAGAAGUAAAAAAAAGCAUGUAAAUCAGGCAAUAGCAUAGCGUUGGUGCUUAUAAGUAGGUAACAGUAUUUAUACCAUCCUUAAAACCCUACUUCCACUUCAGUUUCACUUCCACUCUUCCAGUUAAAACCCAACACGGUGGCUCUCUCCACCAAAUCAAAUGCCCCUCUUUUCUCACCGCCACCCCUCAUCCUCCGCCAUCCCAACCACCAUCAAUCCCAGAACUUCAAAACCAUCAAAACCCAAUUUUAUACCUCCUUCAACCCGCUACCCUCUACCUCUUAUAGUCUUUUCACUCAUCUCCCUUCUCAUUGGACUUUCUGGCACGAUCUUCGCUAUCUCAGCGAUCCGCAGACCCAAACCUGUUCCUGUUUUUCGCUGUGGCAGAUCCGAGGACACUUUUCGAGCAUUUUAUUCGGGUUCGGGUAGAACCCGAGGUGAUGAUAACGGGGCAUUGAUUGACAGGCCUAAGCUUCUUGGCUUUGUCGGGAUUCAAACCGGGUUUGAAUCGGGUGAUCGCCGGGCUGCACUUAGAAGUACUUGGUUUCCUUCUGACCCAGAUGGACUUUUGAGGUUGGAGCAAGCUACUGGUUUAGCAUUUAGGUACGUAAUAGGGCGCUCAAAGGAUGCAAAGAAAAUGGCCCAGCUUGAGAAAGAGGUGGAUAAGUACAGAGAUUUCAUGCUCAUAGAUGUCGAGGAAGAAUAUCUAAAGCUUCCAUACAAAACGUUGGCCUUUUUCAAGGCAGCCUUUAAGCUUUUUGAAGCAGAUUAUUAUGUCAAAGCUGAUGAUGAUAUCUAUUUGCGCCCAGAUCGCCUUGCAACUCUUCUCGCUAAGGAAAGAACCCAUUCACUAACUUAUAUUGGAUGCAUGAAGAAAGGACCAGUGAUCACUGAUCCUAAAAUGAAAUGGUUUGAGAAAUCAGGACAUCUGAUUGGAAAUGAGUACUUCCUGCAUGCUUAUGGACCUAUAUAUGUUCUUUCUGCAGAGGUUGUGGCUUCAUUAGCAUCUGCUAGAAAUAACAGCUUUCAGUUUGAGAAUGUUCAGCAAUGAGGAUGUCACCAUUGGAUCAUGGAUGCUUGCAAUGAAUGUUUAUCAUGAAGAUAACCGAGCCAUAUGUGAUCCCCGAUGCACUCCAACAUCUAUAGCAGUUUGGGAUAUUCCUAAAUGUUCUGGUUUAUGCAAUCCGGCUAGUCGGAUGAAGGAGCUGCACAAGAUUGAUAUGUGCUCCAAAAGUCCAACACUGCCCCCUGAUGAUAGAUAGGGUCCAAUCAGCCAGAACUUAUGAUUGCAUAACACUGACGUAGCAAUAGAGGCUGUUUUUUAAGCAGUGUGCUGGGUUUCUGCAGGACAAGUAUCUUUCCCCAAAGAGCAAUAGGGGCUUUUGUAUUCUGCCAUUCUAUUCUCCAUGUAAAGACUGUAUAGCCAUGCAAUGCAUUAUCUUCAAGUUGCUAGAUAAGUUAAUAGCACUAUUAAAGGAAUGCUUGAUUCUUAAAACACCGAACAUCACGAGAAUAAGCAAGUGUCGUUAGACAUGUAGAAUACCAGCACCAUGUGAUUAUGGUCACCUGGGUCAGGAGACUGAUUUUGAGUUUGUUCAAGGAUUCAAGCGAGGAUAUCUGCCUGUACUAGUGAUCUGAUCACUGUUUUUGGGCUUGCCCAUAUGACUAGGAGUAUGGUGUGUAAUUUGUAUGUACUCGUAAUUGUUAUAUCUCCACGGAAAUGAAAUCAUACUGUUCUCUUUAA
Molecule: RNA transcript, 2032 nt
Organism: Populus nigra (black poplar)
Lineage: Eukaryota; Viridiplantae; Streptophyta; Magnoliopsida; Malpighiales; Salicaceae
Gene name: probable beta-1,3-galactosyltransferase 12
Exons: 8
Source: RefSeq, a predicted model, not a curated record